GUAGGUGAACCUGCGGAAGGAUCAUUAUCGAAUUAUAAUCCGGCGAGGGGAAAGGGGGGAGUUGUCGCUGGCCUUUUACGAGGCAUGUGCACGCUCUCCUUGGAACCUUUGCCUUAUGGGCGCGGGGCGACCCACGUCUUCAUAUACCUCUUCGUGUAGAAAGUCUUCGAAUGUUUAUAUUAUCAUCGAGCCGCGACUUCUAGGAGACGCGGUUCUUUGAGACAAAAGUUAUUACAACUUUCAGCAAUGG
RNAcentral lists this unclassified non-coding RNA (250 nucleotides) under plant metagenome. Its description in RNAcentral is "partial contains small subunit ribosomal RNA, internal transcribed spacer 1, and 5.8S ribosomal RNA". The record is from RNAcentral.